This 459-nucleotide ribosomal RNA is filed under the name uncultured Sphingobacteriales bacterium. RNAcentral describes it as "bacterial SSU rRNA". It matches the Rfam family "Bacterial small subunit ribosomal RNA", at positions 923 to 1382 of the family's 1533-position model. The record is from RNAcentral. Lineage: Bacteria; Pseudomonadati; Bacteroidota; Sphingobacteriia; Sphingobacteriales.
GCACAAGCGGAGGAACAUGUGGUUUAAUUCGAUGAUACGCGAGGAACCUUACCUGGGCUUAAAUGUAGAGUGCAUUUUCUAGAGAUAGGAAUUCCCUUCGGGGCUUUCUGCAAGGUGCUGCAUGGUUGUCGUCAGCUCGUGCCGUGAGGUGUCGGGUUAAGUCCCAUAACGAGCGCAACCCUUAUCGUUAGUUGCCAUCUGGUAAAGCAGGGGACUCUAGCGAAACUGCCACCGUAAGGUGAGAGGAAGGUGGGGAUGACGUCAAAUCAGCACGGCCCUUAUGUCCAGGGCUACACACGUGUUACAAUGGCCGGUACAGAGGGCAGCUACCUGGUGACAGGAUGCUAAUCUCGAAAACCGGUCUCAGUUCGGAUCGAAGUCUGCAACUCGACUUCGUGAAGCUGGAUUCGCUAGUAAUCGCGCAUCAGCCAUGGCGCGGUGAAUACGUUCCCGGGCCUU